ACUCGGGCACGAUCCGCCUUAGCGUUUACCGCUGUGAGCAGGUGGAACCGACCCGAAGUUUCAACCCUGAGGGA
RNAcentral lists this non-coding RNA (74 nucleotides) under Corynebacterium massiliense. RNAcentral describes it as "L31-Corynebacteriaceae ribosomal protein leader". It matches the Rfam family "L31-Corynebacteriaceae ribosomal protein leader". RNAcentral also lists the same sequence under 1 other name. Lineage: Bacteria; Bacillati; Actinomycetota; Actinomycetes; Mycobacteriales; Corynebacteriaceae. The record is from RNAcentral.